GUACUCUCGGCGAGCGCUGGGGCUCCGCGCCCGACAUCCUCCCUCUAUCGUGCAGCCUUCGCUUUCGAGUGUGUACUCCAGUUGGGUUCCUAAACGACAUUGUGCUCGCACAGGGUACAGCUUAUUUGCCUGUAUUGUGUCUACCCCAUGUGCGUGUCUGAUGCCUACGGAAGCCAGAAGGCGGCUCUGGAUCACCUGGAACUGGAGAUACAGACAAUUGUGAAAUGCCAUGUGGGUGCCGAGAACCAAACCUGGGUACUCUGUAAGAACCGCCAGUGUUCUUAACAGCUGAGCCCCUGUCCAAACAUUCAGUCCUCAACAAAUGCAACUUUUGCAUGAUAGACAGAGACCCAGACCCAGUUGGGUUAUUUGCACAAGACAGACGGACAGAGACCUAGACUCAGUUGGGUAGACCUACCUGCCUCAGACAUUGGCUUCAUCAUUAUGUUAUUUCGGGGCAAAGAGCUCAUUACAGGAAGAAUGAAAGUUAAAUUUUACUAAGACAAAUCAAAAGCCCGUCCAACAUUGGCUUUAAGCACUAGUUGAUCUAACAACUUUGAUAAAACAAUUUUGAAACUGUCACUUAAGAACUGCUCUUGGGCGGGGCAGUGGUGGUGCACGCCUUUGAUCCCAGCACUUGGGAGGCAGAGGCAGGCAGAUUUCCGAGUUCAGGG
This is a long non-coding RNA of Mastomys coucha (southern multimammate mouse), 674 nucleotides long. RefSeq lists it as uncharacterized. The record is from RefSeq and is a predicted model, not a curated record. Lineage: Eukaryota; Metazoa; Chordata; Mammalia; Rodentia; Muridae. The transcript is spliced from 2 exons.